CUCCCAGCUCCAACAUAGUGCAAACUGCAGAAGAUUUUAACUUGCUCAAGUCAAGCGAUUUUAGAAGAUACGAAGUCCUUAGAGAGAUUCUGACAACCCUUGGCCUCAGCUGUGACAUGAAACAAGUUCCUGCCUUAACUCCUCUUUACUUGCUGUUAGCUGCGGAGGAAAUCCGGGAUCCUCUUAUGCAGUGGCUUGGGAAACAUGUGGACUCCGAGGGAGAAAUAAAAUCCGGCCAGCUCUCUCUUAGAUUUGUUUCAUCCUACGUGUCUGAAGUAGAAAUAACCCCAUCUUGUAUACCUGUGGUGACCAACAUGGAGGCCUUCUCAUCAGAACAUUUCAGCUUAGAGAUCUAUCGCCAAAAUCUGCAGACCAAGCAGUUGGGGAAAGUAAUUUUGUUUGCCGAAGUGACCCCCACAACGAUGCGUCUCCUGGAUGGGUAAGGUGUGAGCAGGUCUGCAUCUGCUCAGAGGAAUCCUGUUCCGUUGAUCAUCCUCUCUUACCAAUAGUCGGGGAGGGGAUAGAGUUGUAGAGGAAUACAUUUGACCAGACCUAUUAGCAAGGUGGAAGUACUCUUGUCCUAGAAGAGUUAAAUUGUGGGAAAGGAAAUUGAAGUUCUUUGAUCACAGGUUUGUUUUUUAUGAGAAUGGAAGGUGGUUGUGCUUUGUGUCUUGCUUCCUUGAAUCAGGCCCUCAGAAUGUUCUUUGAUAAACGAAUAUUAUGAAAAAA
Molecule: small RNA, 729 nt
Filed under: Pongo abelii (Sumatran orangutan)
Lineage: Eukaryota; Metazoa; Chordata; Mammalia; Primates; Hominidae
Description: processed transcript
Source: RNAcentral